AUACGUAGGGGGCGAGCGUUGUCCGGAAUGAUUGGGCGUAAAGGGCGCGUAGGCGGCGCGGUAAGUCUGGAGUGAAAGUCCUGCUUUCAAGGUGGGAAUUGCUUUGGAUACUGCCGCGCUUGAGUGCAGGAGAGGUUAUCGGAAUUCCCGGUGUAGCGGUGAAAUGCGUAGAGAUCGGGAGGAACACCAGUGGCGAAGGCGGCUUACGGGGCUGGAACUGACGCGGAGGCGCGAAAGCGUGUGGAGCAAACAGGAUUAGGUACCCUGGUAGUCCACGCCGUAAACGAUGAAUGCUAGGUGUUAGGGGUUUCAAUACCCUUGGUGCCGAAGUUAACACAUUAAGCAUUCCGCCUGGGGAGUACGGUCGCAAGACUGAAACUCAAAGGAAUUGACGG
RNAcentral lists this ribosomal RNA (395 nucleotides) under uncultured bacterium. RNAcentral's name for it is "partial 16S ribosomal RNA". It matches the Rfam family "Bacterial small subunit ribosomal RNA", at positions 523 to 916 of the family's 1533-position model. The record is from RNAcentral.